CAGUAGCCACGGGAAUACCGAGGGUGCAAGCGUUAAUCGGAAUUACUGGGCGUAAAGCGCGCGUAGGUGGUUUGUUAAGUUGGAUGUGAAAUCCCCGGGCUCAACCUGGGAACUGCAUCCAAAACUGGCAAGCUAGAGUAUGGUAGAGGGUGGUGGAAUUUCCUGUGUAGCGGUGAAAUGCGUAGAUAUAGGAAGGAACUCCAGUGGCGAAGGCGACCACCUGGACUGAUACUGACACUGAGGUGCGAAAGCGUGGGGAGCAAACAGGAUUAGAUACCCCUGUAGUCCCUGUCUCUUAUAC
RNAcentral lists this ribosomal RNA (301 nucleotides) under uncultured bacterium. RNAcentral describes it as "partial 16S ribosomal RNA". It matches the Rfam family "Bacterial small subunit ribosomal RNA", at positions 509 to 807 of the family's 1533-position model. The record is from RNAcentral.